Molecule: ribosomal RNA, 2907 nt
Filed under: Yersinia pestis
Lineage: Bacteria; Pseudomonadati; Pseudomonadota; Gammaproteobacteria; Enterobacterales; Yersiniaceae
Description: 23S ribosomal RNA
Rfam family: Bacterial large subunit ribosomal RNA
Source: RNAcentral
GGUUAAGCGACUAAGCGUACACGGUGGAUGCCUAGGCAGUCAGAGGCGAUGAAGGGCGUGCUAAUCUGCGAAAAGCGUCGGUAAGCUGAUAUGAAGCGUUAUAACCGACGAUACCCGAAUGGGGAAACCCAGUGCAAUACGUUGCACUAUCGUUAGAUGAAUACAUAGUCUAACGAGGCGAACCGGGGGAACUGAAACAUCUAAGUACCCCGAGGAAAAGAAAUCAACCGAGAUUCCCCCAGUAGCGGCGAGCGAACGGGGAGGAGCCCAGAGUCUGAAUCAGUUUGUGUGUUAGUGGAAGCGUCUGGAAAGUCGCACGGUACAGGGUGAUAGUCCCGUACACCAAAAUGCACAGGCUGUGAACUCGAUGAGUAGGGCGGGACACGUGACAUCCUGUCUGAAUAUGGGGGGACCAUCCUCCAAGGCUAAAUACUCCUGACUGACCGAUAGUGAACCAGUACCGUGAGGGAAAGGCGAAAAGAACCCCGGCGAGGGGAGUGAAAUAGAACCUGAAACCGUGUACGUACAAGCAGUGGGAGCACCUUCGUGGUGUGACUGCGUACCUUUUGUAUAAUGGGUCAGCGACUUAUAUUUUGUAGCAAGGUUAACCGAAUAGGGGAGCCGUAGGGAAACCGAGUCUUAACUGGGCGUCUAGUUGCAAGGUAUAGACCCGAAACCCGGUGAUCUAGCCAUGGGCAGGUUGAAGGUUGGGUAACACUAACUGGAGGACCGAACCGACUAAUGUUGAAAAAUUAGCGGAUGACUUGUGGCUGGGGGUGAAAGGCCAAUCAAACCGGGAGAUAGCUGGUUCUCCCCGAAAGCUAUUUAGGUAGCGCCUCGUGAACUCAUCUUCGGGGGUAGAGCACUGUUUCGGCUAGGGGGCCAUCCCGGCUUACCAAACCGAUGCAAACUCCGAAUACCGAAGAAUGUUAUCACGGGAGACACACGGCGGGUGCUAACGUCCGUCGUGAAGAGGGAAACAACCCAGACCGCCAGCUAAGGUCCCAAAGUCAUGGUUAAGUGGGAAACGAUGUGGGAAGGCACAGACAGCCAGGAUGUUGGCUUAGAAGCAGCCAUCAUUUAAAGAAAGCGUAAUAGCUCACUGGUCGAGUCGGCCUGCGCGGAAGAUGUAACGGGGCUAAACCAUGCACCGAAGCUGCGGCAGCGACGUUUAGGCGUUGUUGGGUAGGGGAGCGUUCUGUAAGCCGUUGAAGGUGACCUGUGAGGGUUGCUGGAGGUAUCAGAAGUGCGAAUGCUGACAUAAGUAACGAUAAUGCGGGUGAAAAACCCGCACGCCGGAAGACCAAGGGUUCCUGUCCAACGUUAAUCGGGGCAGGGUGAGUCGACCCCUAAGGCGAGGCUGAAAAGCGUAGUCGAUGGGAAACAGGUUAAUAUUCCUGUACUUGGUGUUACUGCGAAGGGGGGACGGAGAAGGCUAGGCUGGCCGGGCGACGGUUGUCCCGGUUUAAGCGUGUAGGGGGAGUGACCAGGUAAAUCCGGUUGCUUAUCAACCCUGAGGCGUGAUGACGAUGCACCACGGUGCAGAAGCAGUUGAUGCCAUGCUUCCAGGAAAAGCCUCUAAGCAUCAGGUAACAUUAAAUCGUACCCCAAACCGACACAGGUGGUCAGGUAGAGAAUACUCAGGCGCUUGAGAGAACUCGGGUGAAGGAACUAGGCAAAAUGGUGCCGUAACUUCGGGAGAAGGCACGCUGGCGUUAGGUGAAAGGACUAGCUCCUGGAGCUGAAGCCAGUCGCAGAUACCAGCUGGCUGCAACUGUUUAAUAAAAACACAGCACUGUGCAAACACGAAAGUGGACGUAUACAGUGUGACGCCUGCCCGGUGCUGGAAGGUUAAUUGAUGGGGUCAGCCGCAAGGGGAAGCUCUUGAUCGAAGCCCCAGUAAACGGCGGCCGUAACUAUAACGGUCCUAAGGUAGCGAAAUUCCUUGUCGGGUAAGUUCCGACCUGCACGAAUGGCGUAAUGAUGGCCAGGCUGUCUCCACCCGAGACUCAGUGAAAUUGAACUCGCUGUGAAGAUGCAGUGUACCCGCGGCAAGACGGAAAGACCCCGUGAACCUUUACUAUAGCUUGACACUGAACAUUGAGCCUUGAUGUGUAGGAUAGGUGGGAGGCCUUGAAGUGUGGACGCCAGUCUGCAUGGAGCCAACCUUGAAAUACCACCCUUUAAUGUUUGAUGUUCUAACUCGGCCCCAUGAUCUGGGGUGAGGACAGUGUCUGGUGGGUAGUUUGACUGGGGCGGUCUCCUCCCAAAGAGUAACGGAGGAGCACGAAGGUUAGCUAAUCACGGUCGGACAUCGUGAGGUUAGUGCAAAGGCAUAAGCUAGCUUGACUGCGAGAGUGACGGCUCGAGCAGGUACGAAAGUAGGUCUUAGUGAUCCGGUGGUUCUGAAUGGAAGGGCCAUCGCUCAACGGAUAAAAGGUACUCCGGGGAUAACAGGCUGAUACCGCCCAAGAGUUCAUAUCGACGGCGGUGUUUGGCACCUCGAUGUCGGCUCAUCACAUCCUGGGGCUGAAGUAGGUCCCAAGGGUAUGGCUGUUCGCCAUUUAAAGUGGUACGCGAGCUGGGUUUAGAACGUCGUGAGACAGUUCGGUCCCUAUCUGCCGUGGGCGUUGGAAGAUUGAGAGGGGCUGCUCCUAGUACGAGAGGACCGGAGUGGACGAAUCACUGGUGUUCGGGUUGUCAUGCCAAUGGCAUUGCCCGGUAGCUAAAUUCGGAAGAGAUAACCGCUGAAAGCAUCUAAGCGGGAAACUUGCCUCGAGAUGAGUCUUCCCUGGGGCUUAAAGCCCCCUGAAGGAACGUUAAAGACUAUGACGUUGAUAGGCUGGGUGUGUAAGUGCAGCGAUGUAUUGAGCUAACCAGUACUAAUGAUCCGUGAGGCUUAACCUU